This 253-nucleotide ribosomal RNA is filed under the name uncultured bacterium. RNAcentral describes it as "partial 16S ribosomal RNA". It matches the Rfam family "Bacterial small subunit ribosomal RNA", at positions 524 to 776 of the family's 1533-position model. The record is from RNAcentral.
UACGGGGGGGGCAAGCGUUGUUCGGAAUUACUGGGCGUAAAGGGCGCGUAGGCGGCCUGUUAAGUCGAACGUGAAAUCCCCGGGCUCAACCCGGGAACUGCGUCCGAUACUGGCAGGCUUGAAUCCGGGAGAGGGAUGCGGAAUUCCAGGUGUAGCGGUGAAAUGCGUAGAUAUCUGGAGGAACACCGGUGGCGAAGGCGGCGUUCUGGACUGCAACUGACACUGUAAAACGAAAGCCAGGGGAGCAAACGGG